Molecule: ribosomal RNA, 251 nt
Filed under: uncultured bacterium
Lineage: Bacteria
Description: partial 16S ribosomal RNA
Rfam family: Bacterial small subunit ribosomal RNA
Source: RNAcentral
GAUCAUGGCUCAGGAUGAACGCUGGCGGCGUGCUUAACACAUGCAAGUCGAACGGGAAACCUUUUAUUGAAGCUUCGGCAGAUUUAGCUGGUUUCUAGUGGCGGACGGGUGAGUAACGCGUGGGUAACCUGCCUUGUACAGGGGGAUAACAGUCAGAAAUGACUGCUAAUACCGCAUAAGCGCACAGGACCGCAUGGUCCGGUGCGAAAAACUCCGGUGGUAUAAGAUGGACCCGCGUUGGAUUGGCUUUG